RNAcentral lists this transfer RNA (79 nucleotides) under Schistocephalus solidus. It matches the Rfam family "tRNA". From Rfam's summary of the family: Transfer RNA (tRNA) molecules are approximately 80 nucleotides in length. Their secondary structure includes four short double-helical elements and three loops (D, anti-codon, and T loops). Further hydrogen bonds mediate the characteristic L-shaped molecular structure. tRNAs have two regions of fundamental functional importance: the anti-codon, which is responsible for specific mRNA codon recognition, and the 3' end, to which the tRNAs corresponding amino acid is attached (by aminoacyl-tRNA synthetases). tRNAs cope with the degeneracy of the genetic code in two manners: having more than one tRNA (with a specific anti-codon) for a particular amino acid; and 'wobble' base-pairing, i.e. permitting non-standard base-pairing at the 3rd anti-codon position. The record is from Rfam by way of RNAcentral. Lineage: Eukaryota; Metazoa; Platyhelminthes; Cestoda; Diphyllobothriidea; Diphyllobothriidae.
GAACCCAUGGUGCAGUGCGUUAGCGCGUUUGAUUUCUAAUCAACAGUUCGAGCCUCGGGUGGUGCAUCACCUGGGUUUG